GGCCUUCAAAUUGUCGGAGCACUGAGGCGGCGGCUUUGAUUGACCGACGAUCCAGCCGGCUGCUACAAGAACAAUCAAAACUUGGCAAAUUUCAACUGAGAAUUUAUUCCUACUUGAUACUCAAGAUUCUUGGGAUUGCGUUCUCAUCUCGAAUAUGCUUGCUGCUGCAGAGAGACGGGGACGAGGCGAGCCUUGUGAGGGAGGAGAUGAAGGAAGCGGGGAUCGUCAAAAUGCUGCUGAUAAGGUGCUCAGAAUCAGAAGACCUGAAACUAU
RNAcentral lists this long non-coding RNA (273 nucleotides) under Salvia miltiorrhiza (redroot sage). RNAcentral's name for it is "long non-coding RNA (SMIL_LNC009909)". The record is from RNAcentral. Lineage: Eukaryota; Viridiplantae; Streptophyta; Magnoliopsida; Lamiales; Lamiaceae.